RNAcentral lists this small RNA (329 nucleotides) under Arabidopsis thaliana (thale cress). RNAcentral's name for it is "ATSL044740". The record is from RNAcentral. Lineage: Eukaryota; Viridiplantae; Streptophyta; Magnoliopsida; Brassicales; Brassicaceae.
AUUGACAAAAAAAAUUGUAACGCUACGAACGUACCUGCCAGCGGUCCCCACAUCCUCUCUCUGCGUCCAGAAGGUUCUAAAGACUUGUUUACACGCCCUACAAAUCCCCACAUGAUAUUUCCUAGUGUUUUGUCCUCACUUACACGAUUCCAACAAUCACUUUCCAUAAGGUCACACAUCCUGAGACUUUUCCACCUCAAUGACGCUUAAUUGUGGAGUUCUCUCAGGACGUUUGACCGAAAAUAUAAGUCUCUUUGGUGAUAUUGAUGGCAAAAUCAAUUCUUUUAAACCUCUCUGCAUGGACACCCUGAUGGAACCAAAAAUGUUUG